GUUGUAUGGUUAAGUGACUAAGCGUACACGGUGGAUGCCUUGGCAGUUGGAGGCGAUGAAGGACGUACUAACUUGCGAUAAGCCUAGUCAAGCCAGUAAGAGGCGCUUGAGACUAGGAUUUCCGAAUGGGGAAACCCACCUGCUUGCAGGUAUCGUUAACUGAAUACAUAGGUUAACGAGGCGAACGCGGAGAACUGAAACAUCUAAGUACCCGUAGGAAAAGAAAUCAACCGAGAUUCCGAAAGUAGCGGCGAGCGAAAUCGGAGCAGCCCUUAAGCUUUAGUGUAGUUAGUGGAAUAUGCUGGAAAGCAUGACGAAACAGGGUGAUAGUCCCGUACACAAAAACUUAUCUAAAGUGAAAUCGAGUAGGUCGGAGCACGUGAAACUUUGACUGAAUAUGGGGGGACCAUCCUCCAAGGCUAAAUACUCCCAACUGACCGAUAGUGAACCAGUACCGUGAGGGAAAGGCGAAAAGAACCCCUGUGAGGGGAGUGAAAUAGAACCUGAAACCGUGUACGUACAAGCAGUAGGAGCCUACUUGUUGGGUGACUGCGUACCUUUUGUAUAAUGGGUCAGCGACUUAUAUUCUGUAGCGAGGUUAACCAUUUAGGGGAGCCGUAGCGAAAGCGAGUCUUAACUGGGCGCUUAAGUUGCAGGGUAUAGACCCGAAACCCGGUGAUCUAGCCAUGGGCAGGUUGAAGGUUGAGUAACAUCAACUGGAGGACCGAACCCACUAACGUUGAAAAGUUAGGGGAUGACCUGUGGCUAGGAGUGAAAGGCUAAUCAAACCGGGAGAUAGCUGGUUCUCCCCGAAAUCUAUUUAGGUAGAGCCUCGGACGAAUACUUACGGGGGUAGAGCACUGUUAAGGCUAGGGGGUCAUCCCGACUUACCAACCCUUUGCAAACUCCGAAUACCGUAAAGUAAUAUCCGGGAGACACACGGCGGGUGCUAACGUCCGUCGUGGAGAGGGAAACAACCCAGACCGUCAGCUAAGGUCCCAAAGUGUAUGUUAAGUGGGAAACGAUGUGGGAAGGCUAAAACAGCUAGGAGGUUGGCUUAGAAGCAGCCACCCUUUAAAGAAAGCGUAAUAGCUCACUAGUCGAGUCGGCCUGCGCGGAAGAUGUAACGGGGCUAAACAUACCACCGAAGCUACGGCUGCGAAUAUACCACCCAAACUAUUUUAAGAUUAACGUUGACGCACGAAGUGCCCAACGGUCAAGCGACCAACACGUUGAGUUGGCAAGAGAUAGUUUCGGGGUAUAUUCGCGGGGUAGGGGAGCGUUCUGUAAGUGGCUGAAGGUGUGCCGGGAGGCAUGCUGGACAUAUCAGAAGUGCGAAUGCUGACAUGAGUAACGACAAGAGGAGUGAAAAACUCCUCCGCCGGAAGACCAAGGGUUCCUAUCCCAUGUUAAUCAGGGUAGGGUGAGUCGACCCCUAAGGCGAGGCUGAAGAGCGUAGUCGAUGGGAAACGGGUUAAUAUUCCCGUACUCGGUAUGAAUGCGAUGGGGGGACGGAGCAGGCUAGGCAAGCAUGGCGUUGGUUGUCCAUGUGAAAGGCUGUAGGCUGGUGACUUAGGAAAAUCCGGGUUGCUAAGGCUGAGAGUCGAGACGAGCCACUAAGGUGGUGAAGUUGUUGAUGCCCUACUUCCAGGAAAAGCCUCUAAGCUUCAGUUCAUACUGAAUCGUACCCUAAACCGACACAGGUGGUCAGGUAGAGAAUACUAAGGCGCUUGAGAGAACUCGGGUGAAGGAACUAGGCAAAAUUGUACCGUAACUUCGGGAGAAGGUACGCUCUUGUUUGUGAAAGACUUGCUCUGUAAGCAAACGAGAGCCGCAGUGACCAGGUGGCUGGGACUGUUUAUUAAAAACACAGCACUGUGCAAAAUCGUAAGAUGACGUAUACGGUGUGACACCUGCCCGGUGCCGGAAGGUUAAUUGAUGGGGUUAGCUUAGGCGAAGCUCUUGAUCGAAGCCCCGGUAAACGGCGGCCGUAACUAUAACGGUCCUAAGGUAGCGAAAUUCCUUGUCGGGUAAGUUCCGACCUGCACGAAUGGUGUAACCAUGGCCACGCUGUCUCCACCCGAGACUCAGUGAAAUUGAAAUCGCAGUGAAGAUGCUGUGUACCCGCGGCUAGACGGAAAGACCCCGUGAACCUUUACUACAGCUUGGCACUGAACAUUGACCCUACAUGUGUAGGAUAGGUGGGAGGCUUUGAAGCAGGAACGCUAGUUUCUGUGGAGCCGACCUUGAAAUACCACCCUUGUAGUGUUGAUGUUCUAACUUAGGCCCCUGAAUCGGGGUUGAGGACAGUGCCUGGUGGGUAGUUUGACUGGGGCGGUCUCCUCCCAAAGAGUAACGGAGGAGCACGAAGGUUUGCUAAGUACGGUCGGACAUCGUACGGUUAGUGUAAUGGUAGAAGCAAGCUUAACUGCGAGACAGACACGUCGAGCAGGUACGAAAGUAGGUCAUAGUGAUCCGGUGGUUCUGAAUGGAAGGGCCAUCGCUCAACGGAUAAAAGGUACUCCGGGGAUAACAGGCUGAUACCGCCCAAGAGUUCAUAUCGACGGCGGUGUUUGGCACCUCGAUGUCGGCUCAUCACAUCCUGGGGCUGAAGUCGGUCCCAAGGGUAUGGCUGUUCGCCAUUUAAAGUGGUACGCGAGCUGGGUUUAGAACGUCGUGAGACAGUUCGGUCCCUAUCUGCCGUGGGCGUUUGAGAAUUGAGAGGGGCUGCUCCUAGUACGAGAGGACCGGAGUGGACGAACCGCUGGUGUUCGGGUUGUGAUGCCAAUUGCAUUGCCCGGUAGCUACGUUCGGAACUGAUAACCGCUGAAAGCAUCUAAGCGGGAAGCAGGCCUCGAGAUGAGUUCUCACUUUGACUUAGAGUCAACUGAAGGGCCGUUGAAGACUACAACGUUGAUAGGCGAGAUGUGGAAGUGCUGUGAGGCAUUAAGCUAACUCGUACUAAUUACCCGUGAGGCUUAACCAUACAACGCCAAAGUGGUUU
RNAcentral lists this ribosomal RNA (3004 nucleotides) under Pseudoalteromonas sp. M8. RNAcentral's name for it is "23S ribosomal RNA". It matches the Rfam family "Bacterial large subunit ribosomal RNA". Lineage: Bacteria; Pseudomonadati; Pseudomonadota; Gammaproteobacteria; Alteromonadales; Pseudoalteromonadaceae. The record is from RNAcentral.